CGGGGUGCACCAGGCGCGAAAACUUUACAAUGCGGGAAACCGUGAUAAGGGGACACCGAGUGCCAGCAUCAUAUGCUGGCUGUCCGGGUGUGUAAAAUACACCCGUUAGCAAGGGCCGGGCAAGACCGGUGCCAGCCGCCGCGGUAACACCGGCGGCCCGAGUGGUGAUCGUGAUUAUUGGGUCUAAAGGGUCCGUAGCCGGUUUGGUCAGUCCUCCGGGAAAUCUGACGGCUCAACCGUUAGGCUUUCGGGGGAUACUGCCAGGCUUGGAACCGGGAGAGGUAAGAGGUACUACAGGGGUAGGAGUGAAAUCUUGUAAUCCCUGUGGGACCACCUGUGGCGAAGGCGUCUUACCAGAACGGGUUCGACGGUGAGGGACGAAAGCUGGGGGCACGAACCGGAUUAGAUACCCGGGUAGUCCCAGCCGUAAACGAUGCUCGCUAGGUGUCAGGCAUGGCGCGACCGUGUCUGGUGCCGCAGGGAAGCCGUGAAGCGAGCCACCUGGGAAGUACGGCCGCAAGGCUGAAACUUAAAGGAAUUGGCGGGGGAGCAC
This 553-nucleotide ribosomal RNA is filed under the name uncultured archaeon. RNAcentral's name for it is "bacterial SSU rRNA". It matches the Rfam family "Archaeal small subunit ribosomal RNA", at positions 326 to 879 of the family's 1478-position model. The record is from RNAcentral.